This 453-nucleotide ribosomal RNA is filed under the name uncultured bacterium. RNAcentral describes it as "bacterial SSU rRNA". It matches the Rfam family "Bacterial small subunit ribosomal RNA", at positions 33 to 507 of the family's 1533-position model. The record is from RNAcentral.
GACACGCUGGCGGCGUGCCUAACACAUGCAAGUCGAACGAAGCAUAGCAAUAUGCUUAGUGGCGGACGGGUGAGUAACGCGUGAACAAUCUGCCCUGUACAAAGGAAUAGCCUCGGGAAACCGGGAUUAAAACCGUAUGACACUUUAGUAUCGCAUGAUAAGAAAGUCAAAUCGAUUAGAGGUAUGGGAUGAGUUCGCGUCUGAUUAGCUGGUUGGCGGGGUAACGGCCCACCAAGGCGACGAUCAGUAGCCGGCCUGAGAGGGUGAACGGCCACACUGGAACUGAGACACGGUCCAGACUCCUACGGGAGGCAGCAGUGGGGAAUAUUGCACAAUGGAGGGAACUCUGAUGCAGCGACGCCGCGUGAGUGAAGAAGGUCUUCGGAUCGUAAAACUCUGUCCUUGGUGAAGAAAAGGACGGUAGCCAAGGAGGAAGCCCCGGCUAACUACGUG